AACGAACGCUGGCGGCAGGCCUAACACAUGCAAGUCGAGCGAUCCUUCGGGAUAGCGGCGGACGGGUGAGUAACGCGUGGGAACAUACCCUUUGCUACGGAACAGUCCCGGGAAACUGGGUUUAAUACCGUAUACGCCCUUCGGGGGAAAGAUUUAUCGGCAAAGGAUUGGCCCGCGUUGGAUUAGGUAGUUGGUGGGGUAAAGGCCUACCAAGCCGACGAUCCAUAGCUGGUUUGAGAGGAUGAUCAGCCACACUGGGACUGAGACACGGCCCAGACUCCUACGGGAGGCAGCAGUGGGGAAUCUUAGACAAUGGGGGCAACCCUGAUCUAGCCAUGCCGCGUGAGUGAUGAAGGCCUUAGGGUUGUAAAGCUCUUUCAGCUGGGAAGAUAAUGACGGUACCAGCAGAAGAAGCCCCGGCUAACUCCGUGCCAGCAGCCGCCGUAACAC
Molecule: ribosomal RNA, 450 nt
Filed under: uncultured bacterium
Lineage: Bacteria
Description: bacterial SSU rRNA
Rfam family: Bacterial small subunit ribosomal RNA
Source: RNAcentral